GACGAACGCUGGCGGCGUGCCUAAUACAUGCAAGUUGAGCGAUGAAGCUUGGUGCUUGCACCAAUUUGAAGAGCAGCGAACGGGUGAGUAACGCGUGGGGAAUCUGCCUUUGAGCGGGGGACAACAUUUGGAAACGAAUGCUAAUACCGCAUAACAACUUUAAACAUAAGUUUUAAGUUUGAAAGAUGCAAUUGCAUCACUCAAAGAUGAUCCCGCGUUGUAUUAGCUAGUUGGUGAGGUAAAGGCUCACCAAGGCGAUGAUACAUAGCCGACCUGAGAGGGUGAUCGGCCACAUUGGGACUGAGACACGGCCCAAACUCCUACGGGAGGCAGCAGUAGGGAAUCGUCGGCAAUGGACGAAAGUCUGACCGAGCAACGCCGCGUGAGUGAAGAAGGUUUUCGGAUCGUAAAACUCUGUUGGUAGAGAAGAACGUUGGUGAGAGUGGAAAGCUCAUCAAGUGACGGUAACUACCCAGAAAGGGACGGCUAACUACGUG
Molecule: ribosomal RNA, 497 nt
Filed under: uncultured bacterium
Lineage: Bacteria
Description: partial 16S ribosomal RNA
Rfam family: Bacterial small subunit ribosomal RNA
Source: RNAcentral